GUAAGACAGCACAGAACAGUUUCAGGACUCAACUGAUUCUGUUAGACACUGUAGUUCAACACAGUUGAUAGACUGCUAUAGACUUAACCAGUUCAACUGAAAAAUGUUUACAGAAGUUCAUAAUUACCUUUUGGAAGUAGGGGUGUUGGUGAUGGUGUGGGAGUAAUUAAUAUCUCAGGUAGGAAAGGCAUUUAAACUUGAACUUACUUUUUUUUUUUAAUUUUUUUUUUUUUUAAGAUGGAAUCUUGCUCUUGUGGCCCAGGCUGGAGUGGAGUGCAGUGGUGCGAUCUCGGCUCACUGCGACCUCUGCCUCCCAGGUGGUUCUCCUGCCUCAGCCUCCGAAGUAGCUGGGAUCACAGGCAUGCACCACCACACCUGGCUAAUUUUUGUAUUUUUAGUGGAGACAGGGUUUCACCACAUUGGC
This 424-nucleotide long non-coding RNA is filed under the name Homo sapiens (human). RNAcentral describes it as "HSALNT0251247". Lineage: Eukaryota; Metazoa; Chordata; Mammalia; Primates; Hominidae. The record is from RNAcentral.